This 1346-nucleotide long non-coding RNA is filed under the name Heterocephalus glaber (naked mole-rat). Its description in RNAcentral is "lncRNA (ENSHGLG00100034191.1)". Lineage: Eukaryota; Metazoa; Chordata; Mammalia; Rodentia; Bathyergidae. The record is from RNAcentral.
GCGCCCUCUCACCCCCCAUGGGCUCUGCAAAUUGCUUCCUCCUGUGGAAAUCUUCAUCCUCCUCCCCAGCCUGGCAGGGUGUGGCCCCUUGGCAGGGUCCCCCUGGGGUCCUUGGGCUGGAGGUGGGGGAGACAGACACCAUCCCCACCCCCUCCUCCGAGCCCAGAAUGGGCCGACCGGCCGGCUUCCAGGGUAGGAGCCUCUGGCAGCUGGAGAACAGCUGGCGGGUGGCAGGCAGCGGAGAGGGAGGCUGGGGGGGUGGGGAGGCUGCAGGCCUCCUCUUUCCCAUCCUUCACCCCAUGGCUCGGUGCCCAGGGCAGGCCCGGGAUGCCCAGGGGACUGUGGGGUUCUCUGUCUUCCUGCCACCUUGAGCAGUACCGCCUCAAAGCCGGAGCACCUGGGCCAGGGUCCCUGCAGGGGUGGGUGGUAGCUGCCUGCAGGGCCUGAUAAGGCCCCAGUUCAGCCUUGGCUCCCCAUGGGGCUGCAGAGGUGCCGCCUGCCAGGUCACCUUGUCCCAUCUAUGUCCCCCCACUGUGGCAGCUGCUCAGGGGAACCCCACACUUCAGGUUGGUGCCCCAUCCCCCUCAAAAGGGAGCUCUGGGGGCUGGGUGGUCUGGAGUCUGGGGCCUCUGGGGUCUGGGGGGCCAGGACCUCUGUAGCAGCCCCCAACUCUGGCCUCCAUUCCUGGAGCCAUCUGGCCAGUUCUGCCAGCAGACCCGGGGGGGGGCAGCGAGGCACCCCGUAUCUCCCCAGAGCUCGGCCUGCUCUCCCAGCCUUCCGAGACCCUGACCCUGCCACCACUCAGUGGUACUUCUGACCCCAGAAGGCUGAGGCCUGGGAGCCAGGCUUAGGUGUGCCGGCCGGCCGAGGUGGGACAGACAGACUCGCUGUGGAGUUCAGGCUGGCCUUGAAUUCAUUAUGUAUCCAAGGCUGGCUUCAAACUCCAGGCAAUCCUCCUGCCUCAGCCUCCUCAGUGCUGAGAUUACAGGCGCAUGUGAUCACGCCUGGCUAUGGAGGAUUAAAUGAAUGAAUGGGUGAAACCCCACAACCUUCCUGGAAUUUGGCAGUAUUGUUAGUCGCAGCACUGCCUAACUCUGUACCUGACCCCAGGACCCUGAGGGCCUCACCACCCUGCUCCAUUACUGACCCCCUCGGGGCUCCCCAACCAGAGGCUCCUGCUGAGAAGUCCCCCCAUCAGAACACCUGGGACUCAGGUCUUCUCUGGCUUCUCUCGGGGUCCCCACCUGUCCACCCAGCCUCCUGUGUUUCCUGCUGCUCAUGGCAAAGCCCUGGGCUCCAGGCCUCAGGUGCACUCAGGCCUUCGGGCCUGGGCUGACCUGCCGGGG